CCUACGGGUGGCUGCAGUGGGGAAUAUUGGACAAUGGGCGAAAGCCUGAUCCAGCCAUGCCGCGUGUGUGAAGAAGGCCUUCGGGUUGUAAAGCACUUUCAGUGGGGAAGAAAGCCUUGGGGCUAAUACCCUCGAGGAAGGACAUCACCAACAGAAGAAGCACCGGCUAACUCCGUGCCAGCAGCCGCGGUAAUACGGAGGGUGCGAGCGUUAAUCGGAAUUACUGGGCGUAAAGCGCGCGUAGGCGGUCUGAUAAGCCGGUUGUGAAAGCCCCGGGCUCAACCUGGGAACGGCAUCCGGAACUGUCAGGCUAGAGUGCAGGAGAGGAAGGUAGAAUUCCCGGUGUAGCAGUGAAAUGCGUAGAGAUCGGGAGGAAUACCAGUGGCGAAGGCGGCCUUCUGGACUGACACUGACGCUGAGGUGCGAAAGCGUGGGUAGCAAACAGGAUUAGAUACCCUGGUAGUC
This 465-nucleotide ribosomal RNA is filed under the name Vreelandella stevensii. Its description in RNAcentral is "partial 16S ribosomal RNA". It matches the Rfam family "Bacterial small subunit ribosomal RNA", at positions 338 to 795 of the family's 1533-position model. The record is from RNAcentral. Lineage: Bacteria; Pseudomonadati; Pseudomonadota; Gammaproteobacteria; Oceanospirillales; Halomonadaceae.